Lynx canadensis (Canada lynx) is the source of this 213-nucleotide long non-coding RNA. RefSeq lists it as uncharacterized. The record is from RefSeq and is a predicted model, not a curated record. The transcript is spliced from 3 exons. NCBI's taxonomy places the organism in Eukaryota, Metazoa, Chordata, Mammalia, Carnivora, Felidae.
AAUCUGCAGAAGUGAAAACAGUAUGGUACUGGCACAAAAACAGACACAAAGAUCAAUGUAAUAGAAUAGAGAACCCAGAGAUGGACCCACAGAUAUAUGGCAAAUGAAUCCUCAACAGAGCAAGAAAGACUAUCCAAAUGGAAGAAACACAGUCUCUUUAUUAAAUGGUGUUGAGAAAAAUGGACAGCAACAUGCAGAAGAAUAAACCUGGAC